Molecule: ribosomal RNA, 536 nt
Filed under: Pseudomonardia communis
Lineage: Eukaryota; Metazoa; Arthropoda; Insecta; Diptera; Cecidomyiidae
Description: eukaryotic LSU rRNA
Rfam family: Eukaryotic large subunit ribosomal RNA
Source: RNAcentral
AAACCGCUUAGGGGUUAAGCCCGAUGAACCUGAAUAUCCGAUGUGGGAAAUUCAAUACGGUGUCGGCGGUUGCAAAACCGUUGUGCAUCGUAUGCACUUUUCCCAUAGUAGGACAUUGUAAUCCAUUAAUGCUAUAUCCCUUCACCGGGAUGAUUUAACAUACGGACAAAUCGUAUUGGCUUAUUCUAUUCGUGGCAUGUAAACACGCCAUAUGAAUAAAAUUCGUUUUGUACCUGUUUAAAUAGUUGAUGGAUUUGAUGACGAUCAUGCGUGCACUCGUUGCGUUUCGUGCAGCCGGUUUCUAAUCGGCGGCAGCAGAAAUGGCAUGUAUCCGAUUAACAAUGCGAUAGAUUUGGGAUGCCUUCGGGACCCGUCUUGAAACACGGACCAAGGAGUCUAACAUAUGUGCAAGUCAUUGGGUAUUUCGUUGAAACCUAUUGGCGUAAUUAAAAUGACUAUAUUUUAAUUUGGGAUCACAAGUGGUGUUCAAUUAUGCGCCGCUUUUUAAUCCCGGGGCGUUCUAUACGAACAUGGCG